Molecule: small nuclear RNA, 107 nt
Organism: Gorilla gorilla gorilla (western lowland gorilla)
Lineage: Eukaryota; Metazoa; Chordata; Mammalia; Primates; Hominidae
Source: Ensembl
AUGCUCACUUCAGCAGCAUAUAUACUAAAAUUGGAAUGAUACAGAGAAGAUUAGCAUGAUCCCUGUGCAAGGAUGACACACAAAUUCAUGAAGCAUUCCAUAUUUUU